GUGCUUGCUUCGGCAGCAUAUAUACUAAAAAUGGGAACGAUACAGAGAAGAAUAGCAUGGCCCCUGCACAAGAAUGACAUGCAAAUUCGUGAAGCGUUUCAUAUUAAA
This 108-nucleotide small nuclear RNA is filed under the name Marmota marmota marmota (Alpine marmot). The record is from RNAcentral. Lineage: Eukaryota; Metazoa; Chordata; Mammalia; Rodentia; Sciuridae.